CAGCAGCCGCGGGAAAACGAAGGGGGCUAGCGUUGUUCGGAUUUACUGGGCGUAAAGGGCGCGUAGGCGGACUGAUAAGUCAGGGGUGAAAUCCCAAGGCUCAACCUUGGAACUGCCUUUGAUACUGUUUGUCUUGAGUUCGAGAGAGGUAAGUAGAACUGCGAGUGUAGAGGUGAAAUUCGUAGAUAUUCGCAAGAACACCAGUGGCGAAGGCGGCUUACUGGCUCGAAACUGACGCUGAGGCGCGAAAGCGUGGGGAGCAAACAGGAUUAGAGACCCCCGUAGUCCCUGUCUCUUAUAC
Molecule: ribosomal RNA, 301 nt
Filed under: uncultured bacterium
Lineage: Bacteria
Description: partial 16S ribosomal RNA
Rfam family: Bacterial small subunit ribosomal RNA
Source: RNAcentral